This 141-nucleotide ribosomal RNA is filed under the name uncultured bacterium. RNAcentral describes it as "partial 16S rRNA". It matches the Rfam family "Bacterial small subunit ribosomal RNA", at positions 355 to 511 of the family's 1533-position model. The record is from RNAcentral.
UGGGGAAUUUUCCGCAAUGGGCGAAAGCCUGACGGAGCAAUGCCGCGUGGAGGUGGAAGGCCUACGGGUCGUCAACUUCUUUUCUCGGAGAAGAAACAAUGACGGUAUCUGGGGAAUAAGCAUCGGCUAACUCUGCGCCAG